UACGGAGGGUGCGAGCGCUAACCGGAAUUACUUGGCGUAAAGCGCGCGUAGGCGGCUAAGUAAGCCGGUUGUGAAAGCCCCGGGCUCAACCUGGGAAUGGCAUCCGGAACUGUUUAGAUAGAGUGCAGAAGAGGAAGGUAGAAUUCCUGGUGUAGCGGUGAAAUGCGUAGAGAUCGGGAGGAAUACAAGUGGCGAAGGCGGCCUACUGGUCUGACACUGACGCUGAGGUGCGAAAGCGUGGGUAGCAAACAGG
This 253-nucleotide unclassified non-coding RNA is filed under the name uncultured Halomonadaceae bacterium. RNAcentral describes it as "contains 16S-23S intergenic spacer region". It matches the Rfam family "Bacterial small subunit ribosomal RNA", at positions 524 to 776 of the family's 1533-position model. The record is from RNAcentral. Lineage: Bacteria; Pseudomonadati; Pseudomonadota; Gammaproteobacteria; Oceanospirillales; Halomonadaceae.